RNAcentral lists this ribosomal RNA (407 nucleotides) under uncultured bacterium. RNAcentral describes it as "partial 16S ribosomal RNA". It matches the Rfam family "Bacterial small subunit ribosomal RNA", at positions 30 to 526 of the family's 1533-position model. The record is from RNAcentral.
AUUGAACGCUAGCGGGAUGCCUUACACAUGCAAGUCGAACGGAGUGGCGAACGGGUGAGUAAUGUAUCGGAACGUGCCCAUUAGCGGGGGAUAACUACGCUAAAGCGUAGCUAAUACCGCAUACUCUUGGAGCGGCCGCUAUGGGAUUAGCUAGUUGGUGGGGUAACGGCUCACCAAGGCGACGAUCCGUAGCUGGUUUGAGAGGACGACCAGCCACACUGGAACUGAGAAAAGGCCCAGACUCCUACGGGAGGCAGCAGUGGGGAAUUUUGGACAAGGGGGGAAACCCUGAUGCAGCCAUGCCGCGUGUGCGAUGAAGGCCUUCGGGUUGUAAAGCACUUUUGGCAGGAAGGCGGUACCUGCAGAAUAAGCACCGACUAACUACGUGCCAGCAGCCGCGGUAAUUC